This 465-nucleotide ribosomal RNA is filed under the name Vreelandella stevensii. RNAcentral's name for it is "partial 16S ribosomal RNA". It matches the Rfam family "Bacterial small subunit ribosomal RNA", at positions 338 to 795 of the family's 1533-position model. Lineage: Bacteria; Pseudomonadati; Pseudomonadota; Gammaproteobacteria; Oceanospirillales; Halomonadaceae. The record is from RNAcentral.
CCUACGGGAGGCAGCAGUGGGGAAUAUUGGACAAUGGGCGAAAGCCUGAUCCAGCCACGCCGCGUGUGUGAAGAAGGCCUUCGGGUUGUAAAGCACUUUCAGUGGGGAAGAAAGCCUUGGGGCUAAUACCCUCGAGGAAGGACAUCACCCACAGAAGAAGCACCGGCUAACUCCGUGCCAGCAGCCGCGGUAAUACGGAGGGUGCGAGCGUUAAUCGGAAUUACUGGGCGUAAAGCGCGCGUAGGCGGUCUGAUAAGCCGGUUGUGAAAGCCCCGGGCUCAACCUGGGAACGGCAUCCGGAACUGUCAGGCUAGAGUGCAGGAGAGGAAGGUAGAAUUCCCGGUGUAGCGGUGAAAUGCGUAGAGAUCGGGAGGAAUACCAGUGGCGAAGGCGGCCUUCUGGACUGACACUGACGCUGAGGUGCGAAAGCGUGGGUAGCAAACAGGAUUAGAUACCCCAGUAGUC